GAUGAAGAACGCAGUGAAAUGCGAUAAGUAAUGUGAAUUGCAGAAUUCAGUGAAUCAUCGAAUCUUUGAACGCACAUUGCGCCCAUUAGUAUUCUGGCGGGCAUGCCUGUCCGAGCGUCAUUUCAACCCUCAAGCCCCCGGGCUUGGUGUUGGGGAUCGGCGAGCCUCCGCGCCCGCCGUCCCCUAAAUCUAGUGGCGGUCUCGCUGUAGCUUCCUCUGCGUAGUAGCACACCUCGCACUGGGAAACAGCGCGGCCACGCCGUUAAACCCCCAACUUCUGAACGUUUGACCUCGGAUCAGGUAGGAAUACCCGCUGAACUUAAGCAUAUCAAUAAGCGGAGGA
Molecule: unclassified non-coding RNA, 343 nt
Filed under: soil metagenome
Description: partial contains 5.8S ribosomal RNA, internal transcribed spacer 2, and large subunit ribosomal RNA
Rfam family: 5.8S ribosomal RNA (bases 1-120)
Source: RNAcentral